UCCGAAAAUUAAUGAGCUGAACUUUUUCUGUUAAGAACUCAUAAAUAAGUGUCUCAAUACUUUUUAGAGAAAAAAAUUCAGAAGCUACAUACCUAUCGCAUUAAUAUAUAUCUGAUUUUUCUUAAACCAGCCUUAGCUGUAAAAAUUGUAACCAAAAAUUAUCCAAAAAACAAUUUUUAAAAAUAUAAAAGGACAAGCUUUUAUAUUAUAUUAUAUAAAUAAAAUAUUUAGUAGGCCUAAAAACAGCCACCAUUUAUCACGUUACACUACAAAUUAAAUUCAAAUUUUAUGUAUAAAAAGAAAUAUCUAUUUUAAUCAAAAAUCUAUUAACAAUGCAAAGACUAGUAUUAUUAAUAUAAUCCCUCCUUAUUACCCUAAUAUAUACUCAAGGAACUCGGCAAAUUAGAUUCCGACUGUUUAACAAAAACAUAGCCUAAUGACUUCUUAUGUAGGUAAAUUCUGCCCAGUGAAUAUUUAACGGCCGCGGUAUUCUGACCGUGCAAAGGUAGCAUAAUCAUUUGCCCCUUAAUUAGGGGCUAGCAUGAAUGAAUUCACGAGAUUCUAGCUGUCUCAAGUAUACAAAGAUAAACUAGCCUUUAGGUGAAGAGACCUAAAUUUAUUUAAAAGACAAGAAGACCCUGUCGAGCUUUAAUAUAAUAAAGAAAUAAAAUAAUUACUCUUUUUAAAUAUUUUUGUUGGGGCGACAAAGGAACAUAUAAAUCUUCCUAAUAUAUAAAGACCUCAAGUCAAUCCUUAGACCCAUUUAUAAUGAUCAAAGAAUAAAGCUACCGCAGGGAUAACAGACUUAUUCUCCUCAAGAGUUCAAAUCUACAGGAGAGAUUGGCACCUCGAUGUUGGCUUAGGAAUUCUCUUAGGUGUAGAAGCCUAACAAGAGGGUUGUUCAACCCUUAAU
RNAcentral lists this ribosomal RNA (913 nucleotides) under Hyalinoecia sp. JZ-2010. RNAcentral's name for it is "partial 16S ribosomal RNA". The stretch from base 371 to 913 matches the Rfam family "Eukaryotic large subunit ribosomal RNA", at positions 1891 to 2944 of the family's 3401-position model. Lineage: Eukaryota; Metazoa; Annelida; Polychaeta; Eunicida; Onuphidae. The record is from RNAcentral.